Molecule: transfer RNA, 76 nt
Filed under: Opitutia bacterium
Lineage: Bacteria; Pseudomonadati; Verrucomicrobiota; Opitutia
Description: tRNA-Thr
Rfam family: tRNA
About the family: Transfer RNA (tRNA) molecules are approximately 80 nucleotides in length. Their secondary structure includes four short double-helical elements and three loops (D, anti-codon, and T loops). Further hydrogen bonds mediate the characteristic L-shaped molecular structure. tRNAs have two regions of fundamental functional importance: the anti-codon, which is responsible for specific mRNA codon recognition, and the 3' end, to which the tRNAs corresponding amino acid is attached (by aminoacyl-tRNA synthetases). tRNAs cope with the degeneracy of the genetic code in two manners: having more than one tRNA (with a specific anti-codon) for a particular amino acid; and 'wobble' base-pairing, i.e. permitting non-standard base-pairing at the 3rd anti-codon position.
Source: RNAcentral
GCCACCUUAGCUCAGCUGGUAGAGCAGCUGAUUUGUAAUCAGCCGGUCGUCGGUUCGAUCCCGACAGGUGGCUCCA